AGAGUUUGAUCAUGGCUCAGGAUGAACGCUAGCUACAGGCUUAACACAUGCAAGUCGAGGGGCAGCAUGGUCUUAGCUUGCUAAGGCCGAUGGCGACCGGCGCACGGGUGAGUAACGCGUAUCCAACCUGCCUUACACUCUUGGACAGCCUUCUGAAAGGGAGAUUAAUACAAGAUGUUAUCAUGAGUAAGCAUUUUCGCAUGAUUAAAGGUUUACCGGUGUAAGAUGGGGAUGCGUUCCAUUAGAUAGUAGGCGGGGUAACGGCCACCUAGUCUUCGAUGGAUAGGGGUUCUGAGAGGAAGGUCCCCCACAUUGGAACUGAGACACGGUCCAAACUCCUACGGGGAGACAG
Molecule: ribosomal RNA, 352 nt
Filed under: uncultured bacterium
Lineage: Bacteria
Description: bacterial SSU rRNA
Rfam family: Bacterial small subunit ribosomal RNA
Source: RNAcentral